UUGAGAGCCGUGUCGUUCCUAAUCAUAUUCUCCAGCAAAAUUUUGUAGCAUCUCUCAUAGCUUCCAACAUCUUGAGCAAAAAAGAACAGUGCAAUAUUAUCUUCUUUAACACCAUACUCCUGAAAUUGUAUUGGCCAUGUACUCGAUCGUGAUACCUCAUUAAAGAGGACCUUUUGAGGAAAUUUGUGUACUGCGUCAAGAACAUUGGGUGAUGCACAACUUGAUAAAUGAGCCUGAAUUCCAUCACAUAAGUCAAGAGUUCUUCCACUCUUCUGAACCUCAAAAGCACCCUGCCAUAUAUAUUCAUGCUCUGGAAAUGCUGUCUUCGAAAGUAUCGACAUUGCUGCUUGUGAAUAUCUAUGUAAAUCAACAAGUGAAGAUUUUCCAUCAGACAGAAGAAUAGGCACCAGAUUCCCUGCUCCGGUAAGGGCUUCAGCAGGAAGCACUGACAGCUGCCUCAAGCUACCGAUUUCCUGUUUAUGAGAGCCAGUAAUAGAGUUUAAUGGCACCCCAUGGCCAUCCUCGUUGGAUGACAACAUUCUUCUGCUACUUGAACCACAUAAUGGAUCCGGAGCUGUUGUUUCAGCAUUUGUGUUUGACACAGCUAAAUCAUCAGAUUGAUCAACAACCCUAUUCUUCCAGCAUACUCCAGGCUUCUUUAGCAUAGCCGCCUCAAUUGCAGCUUUAAGAUUGCUCGUGCCAUUUGGGGCCUCUCUAG
This 718-nucleotide unclassified non-coding RNA is filed under the name Hevea brasiliensis (rubber tree). The record is from RNAcentral. Lineage: Eukaryota; Viridiplantae; Streptophyta; Magnoliopsida; Malpighiales; Euphorbiaceae.